Long non-coding RNA from Venturia canescens, 2237 nucleotides. RefSeq lists it as uncharacterized. Lineage: Eukaryota; Metazoa; Arthropoda; Insecta; Hymenoptera; Ichneumonidae. The transcript is spliced from 3 exons. The record is from RefSeq and is a predicted model, not a curated record.
UUCGAUAUUUUUCAUAUUCGCGUAAUCAAUAAUAUUCACAACGAAAUCUGGUAGAAGCGGAUUUUAGUUUGAUUUCUGGACACUUGGCGCUGCGUACGCUAUCGCUCGAUGCCUUAAAAUCUAUUUUAAUCGGCUAAUCAUCACGUUCCAUUGAAAUAAAAAUAAAACGACUUCCACUCUCAACAUGCUUUUUUAUUCAAAGAGAAUGAAAGUUGGAAUUAUUUCAGCGUUCGGAAUUGUCAAUGACUGUUGGACAAUAAAAAGUUCGACAAUAUUAGAGUCUCUGCAUCAUUUCGUGUUUUUAUUGAAACUGCUUGCCGUUCCAUCACUCGUUCGAGAAUGAGCAAAUUGAAUUUAGUCCAAUACUCACUGGAAAACGUAAAUGUCUGGUUAAAACUGCUCCGAGUGGUGAAUCAAACAAGACAAGUGAGAUACUUGAGAAACGGUCUUUCUGAAAAUGAAAAUUAAAGUUGUAUAAUUUUUCCAUCAGAAGAUUAAUUCAUGAUUGCUUUUUCAUUUCGACGAAGGUCAAGAAAUUUACAUGGGAUUCAACUCAUGUUAUGUUUUUGAAAAUUCCUUUUGCUAUUCAUUUUCGUGAUCAUGUUUCAUUAAAAAUUCUGAAAAAUAAUGUACGGAAUGAAGAGUUUUGGAUAUUGGCCUCGAUCGUUGUAAUUUUUCAUUCUUUGGGAGAUUUUUUUGAUUGUCGAAUUUAUUACAAAUUGAGUCGGUUCUCAAAAAUAAAUGAAGAUAAAACAUGUGAAGAUUAAAAUAACGAUCGAAAAGAAUGAAAAUUCAUUUGGUAGGAAUUCCAUAGUGCUGCGUCAAGGAUAAUAAAAUCGAGUUAAUUCAAUGGCCUUUCAAUGAAUUUAAAGUACAAGUUGUUUAUGGACGGAAUGUGAAAUUAAAAAAAAAUUUCUCAGGAUUAAGUGUGGUCAGUUAUAAAGUUCACUAAAAUCUUAAGACUAAAUUCAAUUUUAAAUUCUGAGUCACAGGAAGUGCAGUAGUGUCAGAAUGUCAAUCAUUUUUAUCGCGAUCAAUAACGUCAUUAUAAUUCACGAUUUGAUUACGAUUUUUCUACUUGAUUUUGAUUGUAUUUCCACUAAAAUUCUAUUGCCAAGAAUCUCGAGAAGGUUUUUACAAGAAAAUACACACAUACAACGUUUAACGUCGUCCCGGGAAUAAUUAAUUGUAAAUUUGAUUGAUUGGAGAAUGAGAUUAGGAAUGAAAAAAAAUGUUGGACCGAAGUAUUAAGUGGAAGAAACGAGAUCGAAAAUCCAGAUUGGCCUCAUGUUCCGUUGCGAUGGUUGUUACUUGUUCUAUUUUUGCCUACUGUUUUAUUCUGGGGCACCAGUCGAGUCAAAAAGUCUGGGAAAAGUGGAAGCUUCGAAAAGUAAUUUAUUAAAGUAUGGCAUCGAGGAUCAAACUAGAGGAAGAAAUCAAUCGAUCUCAUCGCAUGAGCCAAAAAUCGAAGGAGUUAUUGGAGCAAAAUCACUGAUGGAUAACCGCACAAACAUUUCUUCAACCACUCAGCUUAGUUCACGUCCUAAGAGAAAAUUUGGAAAAUUUAAUACUGGAACUCGAGCUCAUCAACUCAGUAUUCGGACCAAUAAUGAAAAAUUGCGAAUGAAACUGAGCGUUUUGAAAAAAAAUCGAUUUCGCAGAUUCUGCAACGACUCCGCUAUUAAUUGUUCUCCUCCGUUUGCCACUUAUAACGAACAAUCUCUCAGCUCCGAACACAGACAGAAACGAACAUACACCACUUUGGAAUUACAAACAAUCUUCAAUGCAACUUGUCUUCCAUGCAUCACUCAGUUUCCUUGGCAAGUUAUCGAGUGGCCAACAUCAUGGGUAUCGACGUUGCCAUCAUUUACAUCGUGGGCAAAUUUUCUGUGGUCAAAUGUGUACGGCUGAAUAUUUCAAGAAGGAAUUCUCAUUUUCGAAAUUUUUCAAUAUACUAAAUUUGUGCCUUCUGUCGAGUAUAUUAUGUCGAAUAUAUUUGAGAUGAGAUCAUCCAACCAAAUGAAUUUUUGAUGGAUGAAACAUUUCUGGAUCUAACUAUCAUCCGGUUGGAUGGAAAAUGAUUUGGUAAAAUCUACCAGGUAAUGAAAAUCGAUCAAAGACUGUCUACAGGCCUAACUCGUUGCACAUUUAUUUUUUAAUGUCAAACACAAUUCUUAUUAUUAUUAUUAUUUUUUUUUCAUUAAAACUCUUAAAAAUAAAGAACAUUCGAAAUUUUC